Molecule: ribosomal RNA, 463 nt
Filed under: uncultured Glomus
Lineage: Eukaryota; Fungi; Glomeromycota; Glomeromycetes; Glomerales; Glomeraceae
Description: SSU rRNA
Rfam family: Eukaryotic small subunit ribosomal RNA
Source: RNAcentral
AGCAGCCGCGGUAAUUCCAGCUCCAAUAGCGUAUAUUAAAGUUGUUGCAGUUAAAAAGCUCGUAGUUGAAUUUCGGGAUCAAAUUGUCGGUCGUGCCUCGGUACGCACUGGUAUUAUUGGUUCCUACCUUCUGAAGAACCGCGAUGUCAUUAAUUUGGUGUCGUGGGGAAUCAGGACUGUUACUUUGAAAAAAUUAGAGUGUUUAAAGCAGGCUUACGCUUGAAUACAUUAGCAUGGAAUAAUGAAAUAGGACGUUUGAUUCUAUUUUGUUGGUUUCUAGGAUUGACGUAAUGAUUAAUAGGGAUAGUUGGGGGCAUUAGUAUUCAAUUGUCAGAGGUGAAAUUCUUGGAUUUAUUGAAGACUAACUACUGCGAAAGCAUUUGCCAAGGAUGUUUUCAUUAAUCAAGAACGAAAGUUAGGGGAUCGAAGACGAUCAGAUACCGUCGUAGUCUUAACCAUAAAC